UAGCUAGUUGGUGAGGUAACGGCUUACCAAGGCGACGAUCUGUAGCGGGUCUGAGAGGAUGAUCCGCCACACUGGAACUGAGACACGGUCCAGACUCCUACGGGAGGCAGCAGUGGGGAAUUUUGGACAAUGGGGGCAACCCUGAUCCAGCCAUGCCGCGUGAGUGAAGAAGGCCUUCGGGUUGUAAAGCUCUUUCGGCCGGGAAGAAAUCGCAUGGGCCAAUACCCUGUGUGGAUGACGGUACCGGAAUAAGAAGCACCGGCUAACUACGUGCCAGCAGCCGCGGUAAUACGUAGGGUGCGAGCGUUAAUCGGAAUUACUGGGCGUAAAGCGUGCGCAGGCGGUUUUGUAAGACAGGCGUGAAAUCCCCGGGCUCAACCUGGGAACUGCGUUUGUGACUGCAAGGCUAGAGUACGGCAGAGGGGGGUGGAAUUCCACGUGUAGCAGUGAAAUGCGUAGAGAUGUGGAGGAACACCAAUGGCGAAGGCAGCCCCCUGGGUCGAUACUGACGCUCAUGCACGAAAGCGUGGGUAGCAAACAGGAUUAGAUACCCUGGUAGUCCACGCCCUAAACUAUGUCAACUAGGUGUUGGGUGGGUAAAACCAUUUAGUACCGUAGCUAACGCGUGAAGUUGACCGCCUGGGGAGUACGGCCACAAGGUUAAAACUCAAAGGAAUUGACGGGGACCCGCACAAGCGGUGGAUGAUGUGGAUUAAUUCGAUGCAACGCGAAAAACCUUACCUACCCUUGACAUGCCAGGAACUUGCCAGAGAUGGCUUGGUGCCCGAAAGGGAGCCUGGACACAGGUGCUGCAUGGCUGUCGUCAGCUCGUGUCGUGAGAUGUUGGGUUAAGUCCCGCAACGAGCGCAACCCUUGUCGUUAAUUGCCAUCAUUUAGUUGGGCACUUUAGCGAGACUGCCGGUGACAAACCGGAGGAAGGUGGGGAUGACGUCAAGUCCUCAUGGCCCUUAUGGGUAGGGCUUCACACGUCAUACAAUGGUCGGUACAGAGGGUCGCCAAGCCGCGAGGUGGAGCCAAUCCCAGAAAGCCGAUCGUAGUCCGGAUUGCAGGCUGCAACUCGCCUGCAUGAAGUCGGAAUCGCUAGUAAUCGUGGAUCAGCAUGUCACGGUGAAUACGCUCCCGGGUCUUGUACACACCGCCCGUCACACCAUGGGAGCGGGUUCCGCCAGAAGUAGGUAGCCUAACCGCAAGGAGGGCGCUUACCACGGCGGGGUUCGUGACUGGGGCGAAGUCGUAACAAGGUAGCCGUAGGGGAACCUGCGGCUG
RNAcentral lists this ribosomal RNA (1287 nucleotides) under metagenome. RNAcentral's name for it is "bacterial SSU rRNA". It matches the Rfam family "Bacterial small subunit ribosomal RNA", at positions 242 to 1520 of the family's 1533-position model. The record is from RNAcentral.